Molecule: non-coding RNA, 116 nt
Filed under: human gut metagenome
Description: FMN riboswitch (RFN element)
Rfam family: FMN riboswitch aptamer (RFN element)
About the family: The RFN element is a highly conserved domain that is found frequently in the 5'-untranslated regions of prokaryotic mRNAs that encode for flavin mononucleotide (FMN) biosynthesis and transport proteins.
Source: RNAcentral
GUUUCAGGGCGGAGUGCAAUUCUCCACCGGUGGUAAUGGGCCUUUGGCCUUAGUCCACGAGCUUUGCCGACUUUGGUGUGAUUCCAAGACCGACGGUAUAGUCCGGAUGAAAGAAA